This 253-nucleotide ribosomal RNA is filed under the name uncultured bacterium. RNAcentral describes it as "partial 16S ribosomal RNA". It matches the Rfam family "Bacterial small subunit ribosomal RNA", at positions 524 to 776 of the family's 1533-position model. The record is from RNAcentral.
UACGAAGGGGGCUAGCGUUGCUCGGAAUCACUGGGCGUAAAGCGCACGUAGGCGGCUUUCUAAGUCAGGGGUGAAAUCCUGGAGCUCAACUCCAGAACUGCCUUUGAUACUGGAGAGCUUGAGUCCGGAAGAGGUGAGUGGAACUCCGAGUGUAGAGGUGAAAUUCGUAGAUAUUCGGAAGAACACCAGUGGCGAAGGCGGGUCUCUGGGCCGAUACUGACGCUGAGGAGCGAAAGCGUGGGGAGCGAACAGG